UACGGGGGGGGCAAGCGUUGUUCGGAAUUACUGGGCGUAAAGGGCUCGUAGGCGGCCGACUAAGUCAGACGUGAAAUCCCUCGGCUUAACCGGGGAACUGCGUCUGAUACUGGAUGGCUUGAGGUUGGGAGAGGGAUGCGGAAUUCCAGGUGUAGCGGUGAAAUGCGUAGAUAUCUGGAGGAACACCGGUGGCGAAGGCGGCAUCCUGGACCAAUUCUGACGCUGAGGAGCGAAAGCCAGGGGAGCAAACGGG
Molecule: ribosomal RNA, 253 nt
Filed under: uncultured bacterium
Lineage: Bacteria
Description: partial 16S ribosomal RNA
Rfam family: Bacterial small subunit ribosomal RNA
Source: RNAcentral